CCAUGAUGCGCUGUUUUUUAAUGGAUUUAGUGUCACUAUGAAAAGGGUGUAAAGGAAAGAGGAAAUGAUGUGUUGUAUGAAUGAAAGUAAUACAGUCAAGUGUGUAGGCAGGAAGUGUGUUUAAUCUUGGAUAAUGGUGAUCAAAAACACAAAUACAUGGAGGGAAAAGGAUGGUGAUGAUGAAAGGAAUGACACUUUAAUUUUGACCAUAUUGAUAAAAUCAUUGGAAGACCAAGAGCAGCUAAUGAGUUAAAUAUGCAGGAUUGGUUAACAAAAUUCUACAACAUUUUCUCCUCUUCAUGAAGAAAAACAAAACCAUUGUUCAGUAAAAUACGGCAUAUUGAUUAGCACUUAAGCUUUAGCACUCUCAAUCAAUAUUUAGAGUUCUCAUUUAGAACAUCUUCUUCCUCUCCUCAGGAAGGUGCCCCUGGCUCCUGACAGCCUCCUCUCCCUCUCGUCCUCCUCUGGCACCUCCCCUGCCACUUCCCAACAGACUCUCUCUCCCGCCUCCGUCACAUCUCCUUUCCUCUCCUCUCCCUCCAACUCCCUCUCCUACACUGCCACGUUCCCUCACUCGGCAUCCGCGGCCGGGGUGUUCAGCAUUCGAGACGCCGUGCAGGCCGUCGCCCCAGUUUCCGCGCUGGGUAAAGCCCGUAACGGCACGCAUAAAGCCAGCCGCCCAUCCAAAGACGCUGAGGACUCGGCAGCAGGGUCCAAGAAGAGAAAGAACUCUUCCUACUCCUCCUCCUCUGCCUUUUCUUCUUCCUCCUUGUUACCGACUGUGGAUAAUCACAAGAGGAACGGCAGCAGCUAUCAUCCAACAUUACAAGGUUCAGGAGGGGUAGCAGCUAGCCCAGCCAGGAAAAAGGGACUCGGGCGCGGGGGGAGCGGACUUUGGAGCAGCGGAGACGAUUGGCUGUCCAGAGCUGAAGGGUCUCAUAGCCACUCUCAUAGCAACUCUCAAAACAGUCGUGAACUUGGCACCACCAGUAUACCCUACUCGGCCAACAAGGAGCCUGCCUCCGCCGCCCAUCAGCCCCUGGCUCCCCCCUCCGGACCUUUGGCUUAUGGGGGAGGAGCAGAGGGGAGGAAGAGGAGGAGUCCAAGUUCCUACAGAGGGAAGGCCAGCAAGCUGAGCAGGCCGGGUGGACUGGAGAGUCUCUUUGGGAAUGGGAGCGAUGGUGGGGGGAUACUGGCUUCGGGGCCCGAGUCCCCAAGACAGGCCAAGUUGCAUCACUGACAGAAACCAGCUCCAUGGACUGAAUGUUGGGCAGCUGUUCAGGCCACCACCGUUUGUGACCUUUGACCCCACCACUCUUCCACUGGCGGCACCAAUCAGACUGCUUCAUCUGGGCGAUGUCACCCCUAUUUACCCAGUGACAGUUCGGUUCACCCGCUGUGACAUCGGGGCUCUCUCUGGAGCCCACACAGUUGGCUGGCACUCACUUCCACUCUUCGACCACCCUAAUUAUGGAGCGUUUUGAUGGAAAGCUGCUGUGCUAUCACUGUGGUCGCGGUCUUUACAGAACAAGACAGUGGAAUCCAAAAAACGUAUCCUCUGAAAAGGGAAUUUGCCUCACAAUGUUUCCAAGGCAUUGUUGACAACACCACCACUGUACAAAUUUUUGUAAACAAUCAGAGUUUGUGUUCUGGUUGUUUUCUGGUUGCUGUGUCCGCUCAGCUGAUGAGGAAAAGAGGUCUGUGAUUGUUUAUGGGAGUUAAAUGGUUGAAGGACCUACUGACACGGCUACUGUAGGAUUAAGC
This 1764-nucleotide long non-coding RNA is filed under the name Sparus aurata (gilthead seabream). Its description in RNAcentral is "lncRNA (ENSSAUG00010027362.1)". The record is from RNAcentral. Lineage: Eukaryota; Metazoa; Chordata; Actinopteri; Spariformes; Sparidae.